GAUGAUACUUUUAUUCAACACUACACUAUAUAGUACAUAAUGCAAGUCAUACAGAACUACAGAAUAUGAAAAAUAUUAGCAACAACCUUUCUGAAUAUGGAUUACUAGCAGCAAAUGACCCAAAAUAGGAAUCAGAAAGGGUAAACAAAUUCAUGGUGAAAUGUGGUGAAAAAAAAAUAAAUAUAUGAUUUAUUUCAUGGGGCAUCACCCAAAAGAACUUUAUAAAACCGUUUUCUUUCCUCAGGGUUGAACAAACCCCCUACAUCUCCAGUAUCAUCUUGUUCUGACACUUCAAUGCUAUUACCCUUCCUUUUCUCGGAUCUUACAGAAAUCAUUCCUUUCUUCUUCAUUUUUUCUAGAUUGAGUAAACGGUGCCUUUGAUUAUACUCAUGAAGUCCCUCCUGCAUUAAUUCCCCAAAUUUAUCCUUCACCAGAACAAGUGGAUCCUUGUCAAUCAAUUCUGCCCCAUUAUAUCCUUCUCUUAGAAGAACCGUAUAAAUCUGAUACUUAUUUGAGACGUAAAAGAUGCCAGGAUGCUUGAGCAGCAAAACAUUCAAUUUCUCUGGUAAACUGAACUCUCUUCUAAAAUGACCAAGCUUCACAAUUGAUAACUUCUUCCAUAAAGUCAGCGAGAGCAGCUCAUGUACUAAACCAAUAGUUCUUUUCUCCAUCUCUUUUGAACCUUCCAGUAAACCUCUUGGAUCCACGUAAGGUGAAAUAUAAGGAGUAGAAUUAAAUUCACAAAAUCUCUCCCAUGAUUUAACCCAAGUUGAAGGCAAUGUGCAUGCAAAACACGGCUCGCAACCCUGCUUUUGAGCUGAUGCUUCAAUUGCAGAAAUUGCAAAUUCUGGAUACCAUGACACAAGCUCAAUCUCCAUUGAGCUCCUUCUCCCACUAUGGUUAAUAAGUCGAAACAUAUCAGGAUACUUUGGUAGAAUUCUAAUCAAAUAAUCAUCUGGAAAUCCAAAAUUUCUUUUCAGCUCAUUAAGUUUGACAACAUUAAGUCGUUGAUUCAUGCUCA
Molecule: unclassified non-coding RNA, 1021 nt
Filed under: Hevea brasiliensis (rubber tree)
Lineage: Eukaryota; Viridiplantae; Streptophyta; Magnoliopsida; Malpighiales; Euphorbiaceae
Source: RNAcentral